Molecule: ribosomal RNA, 253 nt
Filed under: uncultured bacterium
Lineage: Bacteria
Description: partial 16S ribosomal RNA
Rfam family: Bacterial small subunit ribosomal RNA
Source: RNAcentral
GACGGAGGAUGCAAGUGUUAUCCGGAAUCACUGGGCGUAAAGCGUCUGUAGGUUGUUUAAAAAGUCUGCAGUUAAAGGUUGAAGCUUAACUUCAAAAAUGCCGUAGAAACUUUUAAACUAGAGGAUGGUAGGGGUAGAGGGAAUUUCCAGUGGAGCGGUGAAAUGUGUAGAUAUCGGAAAGAACACCAACGGCGAAAGCACUCUGCUGGGCCGACACUGACACUGAGAGACGAAAGCUAGGGGAGCGAAUGGG